UCUCCUGGGAAACGGGUGGUAAUGCCGGAUGCUCCAGUUGAUCGCAUGGUCUUCUGGGAAAGCUUUCGCGGUAUGGGAUGGGGUCGCGUCCUAUCAGCUUGACGGCGGGGUAACGGCCCACCGUGGCUUCGACGGGUAGCCGGCCUGAGAGGGCGACCGGCCACAUUGGGACUGAGAUACGGCCCAGACUCCUACGGGAGGCAGCAGUGGGGAAUAUUGCACAAUGGGCGCAAGCCUGAUGCAGCGACGCCGCGUGAGGGAUGGAGGCCUUCGGGUUGUAAACCUCUUUUAUCGGGGAGCAAGCGAGAGUGAGUUUACCCGUUGAAUAAGCACCGGCUAACUACGUGCCAGCAGCCGCGGUAAUACGUAGGGUGCAAGCGUUAUCCGGAAUUAUUGGGCGUAAAGGGCUCGUAGGCGGUUCGUCGCGUCCGGUGUGAAAGUCCAUCGCUUAACGGUGGAUCCGCGCCGGGUACGGGCGGGCUUGAGUGCGGUAGGGGAGACUGGAAUUCCCGGUGUAACGGUGGAAUGUGUAGAUAUCGGAAAGAACACCA
RNAcentral lists this ribosomal RNA (551 nucleotides) under Bifidobacterium longum subsp. suillum. RNAcentral's name for it is "bacterial SSU rRNA". It matches the Rfam family "Bacterial small subunit ribosomal RNA", at positions 146 to 711 of the family's 1533-position model. The record is from RNAcentral. Lineage: Bacteria; Bacillati; Actinomycetota; Actinomycetes; Bifidobacteriales; Bifidobacteriaceae.